GAUAUUUAAUGAUGAUCUUAGCUUUGCAAGCAAUAAUGGAGAGAAUUUGUAAAAGAUAGGAGAAAUUUGGGUAAAAAUUUAAGAGAAUAUGAGAGAUAUAAUAGCUGAGGAAGAGAGAACAUGCAAACAAAGAAAAGAAAAGCAAAUUGAUACUGUUUCCAUGUGAUUGCAGCAGGCUGUUACCGUUGCAUAACAGCAAAUAAUGGCCUUUACACCUGCAACUCGAGAUUUGCCAGUAAAUAAUGGUGUAUCGCAUAAUUGGCCCCCCCAAAACCCGUAAGUAAUGGCCGUUAUUGGAAACCAUAUGUAAUGUGAUAAUUUUUGCUUCAAUAUUUGGUGCAUUUUUGGCAGUAAUAACAUAUUCCAUGGUGGUGGCGGCAGCAGCACUGGCUGGUAAAUUGUAGUGGUUGCCAGCUGAUGGUGACUACUGUUUCUGGAUGGCGAUUAUGGUGAAAAAUUGUGGCAGUGAAAGAAAUAAAAAUAACAAAACAAUAUGAUUACAAGCAGUUUCAUAUCUAAUGAACAUUACAUUAGUCAAAAUGUAAUUGCUCACAUGACGGCUAUUACAUUACAUCAAAUUUUAUUUAUAACCAAACAAAGCAACAAAACAUGCAAUGUAAUCGCAAUUCCACUAUGGCUACGAUUAAGUCCUACCAAAAUAUAGACUUAGCAACUGACAUAUAGCAUUUUACAUGAACUGAUGAUUGAUGAAAAAUUUGCAGCAAGAAAAGAUAUAAAUUAUGACAUGAGAUCCACUAUGUAUUUGUAAUCUAAUGCAUGAAACUCCAUAUCCAUAUGACAAGGUUGGACACAGUAAAGACUCUAACAUGCAAGCUACACACACCUUCACAAUGCCAUCAUAGUCAGUUGAUGCCAGAUAAUUCUUGAUGUAGUUGUUCCAGCAAAUACAACUAAGCCUUGAUUUGUUCGGCAUUUCAAUGACUGGAUAGUGAAUAUCAACAGAA
RNAcentral lists this unclassified non-coding RNA (965 nucleotides) under Hevea brasiliensis (rubber tree). Lineage: Eukaryota; Viridiplantae; Streptophyta; Magnoliopsida; Malpighiales; Euphorbiaceae. The record is from RNAcentral.